GGGGACGUAUAGAUUCGACGGACCAAGCACUUUAAAAACUGCAAGCCGUUUAGGAAACAUUAAACGUAAAAUAUUGUUUCAAAAACCAAAUGGCAUGAAAUUAUUUGCCAUGCCGCAAAGACAGUUGGCUUACGCCUAAGUCUUGAAGGCAUCUUAGGAGUAUCUUUUUCUGGCUAGAUUCCUAAGGUCCACUUAGUCAGAAUGCCCUAAUUUAGGUUUGAUUUUUGUAAGUUAGGAAAGAUCACAAAGAUCGGUGUUGGUCAACAGCUGGUAGGUUACAGCCAACACUAAAAUGCUACUAGCUAAGCUUGUAGAAGUUUUUAUUUUGUCAGUUCACACAGGGCUCACAGCCCUCGUCUCCACCA
Molecule: transfer-messenger RNA, 365 nt
Filed under: Patescibacteria group
Lineage: Bacteria
Description: 2-01-FULL-40-24 sp001776975 Standard tmRNA
Rfam family: transfer-messenger RNA
About the family: Bacterial tmRNA, also known as 10Sa RNA or SsrA, is named for its dual tRNA and mRNA-like properties.
Source: RNAcentral